This 605-nucleotide ribosomal RNA is filed under the name uncultured fungus. RNAcentral describes it as "eukaryotic LSU rRNA". The stretch from base 205 to 358 matches the Rfam family "5.8S ribosomal RNA". Lineage: Eukaryota; Fungi. The record is from RNAcentral.
AGUAAAAGUCGUAACAAGGUCUCCGUUGGUGAACCAGCGGAGGGAUCAUUACAGAGUUAUCCAACUCCCAAACCCAUGUGAACUUAUCUCUUUGUUGCCUCGGCGCAAGCUACCCGGGACCUCGCGCCCCGGGGGGCCCGCCGGCGGACAAACCAAACUCUGUUAUCUUCGUUGAUUAUCUGAGUGUCUUAUUUAAUAAGUCAAAACUUUCAACAACGGAUCUCUUGGUUCUGGCAUCGAUGAAGAACGCAGCGAAAUGCGAUAAGUAAUGUGAAUUGCAGAAUUCAGUGAAUCAUCGAAUCUUUGAACGCACAUUGCGCCCAUUAGUAUUCUAGUGGGCAUGCCUGUUCGAGCGUCAUUUCAACCCCUAAGCACAGCUUAUUGUUGGGACUCUACGGCUUCGUAGUUCCCCAAAGACAUUGGCGGAGUGGCAGCAGUCCUCUGAGCGUAGUAAUUCUUUAUCUCGCUUUUGUUAGGCGCUGCCCCCCCGGCCGUAAAACCCCCAAUUUUUUCUGGUUGACCUCGGAUCAGGUAGGAAUACCCGCUGAACUUAAGCAUAUCAAUAAGCGGAGGAAAAGAAACCAACAGGGAUUGCCCCAGUAACG